Molecule: ribosomal RNA, 431 nt
Filed under: Cephaleuros virescens
Lineage: Eukaryota; Viridiplantae; Chlorophyta; Ulvophyceae; Trentepohliales; Trentepohliaceae
Description: SSU rRNA
Rfam family: Eukaryotic small subunit ribosomal RNA
Source: RNAcentral
UUAGUUGGUGGGUUGGCUUGUCAGGUUGAUUCCGGUAACGAACGAGACCUCAGCCUGCUAAAUAGUUGCCCCCGCUCCGGCGGGGGUCAGACUUCUUAGAGGGACUAUUAGCGAUUUUCAGCUAAUUGAAGUAUGAGGCAAUAACAGGUCUGUGAUGCCCUUAGAUGUUCUGGGCCGCACGCGCGCUACACUGACGCAAUCAACGAGCCUCCUGGUCACGAGAGGACCGGGUAAUCUUGUAAACUGCGUCGUGAUGGGGCUAGAGCUUUGUAAUUAUUGCUCUUUAACGAGGAAUGCCUAGUAAGCGCGAGUCAUCAGCUCGCGUUGAUUACGUCCCUGCCCUUUGUACACACCGCCCGUCGCUCCUUCCGAUUGGGUGUGCUGGGUGAAGAGUUCGGACUGGACCAUGGCUGGGAACAGCCCGGGUUCGG